UACGGAGGGUGCAAGCGUUAGUCGGAAUUACUGGGCGUAAAGGGUGCGUAGGCGGGGAUAUAAGUCAGAUGUGAAAAACCGAAGCUCAACUUCGGCAGUGCAUCUGAAACUGUAUUUCUAGAGGGAGAGCGGAGAAAACGGAAUUCCACGUGUAGCGGUGAAAUGCGUAGAUAUGUGGAAGAACACCUGUGGCGAAAGCGGUUUUCUAGCUUACCCCUGACGCUGAGGCACGAAAGCAAGGGGAGCAAACAGG
This 253-nucleotide ribosomal RNA is filed under the name uncultured bacterium. RNAcentral describes it as "partial 16S ribosomal RNA". It matches the Rfam family "Bacterial small subunit ribosomal RNA", at positions 524 to 776 of the family's 1533-position model. The record is from RNAcentral.